This is an RNA transcript of Hemicordylus capensis (graceful crag lizard), 1844 nucleotides long. It is a transcript of the gene named smoothelin like 1, with no coding region annotated. The record is from RefSeq and is a predicted model, not a curated record. NCBI's taxonomy places the organism in Eukaryota, Metazoa, Chordata, Lepidosauria, Squamata, Cordylidae. The transcript is spliced from 9 exons.
GGGAGGGUGGGUGUAUCAACAGAGUAAUAAACAAUGAGAACAGUGCUGCAGCAGCCACAGUGAAGGCUGAGAAGAGCCAGGAAAAGAUAGCACAAGGAGGAGAGCACGCGUUAGGGAAAGACAAGACAUUCACUAGAGCUGGAGCAGGAAGAGGCUGCCUGAUUCAUUCUACACUGAAACUUUAGAGGAAAGUGGCUGUCAUGGAGGCUGGAGGCACCAAGGAGCAGGAGGAGGCCCAGAAGAGCAAUGGACGAGAGAAGGGAGAGUCAGGAGAUGUUCAGCCUGAGGCCAAGGAAAAGAGUGGGGCUGGGGCAACCGAGGCUGCUGUGAACAACAAGAUAUAUGGCGAGAAUGAGGCCGAGGAAACAAAGGCUUCUGGGAAUGAGGCUCAGGGAGGCCAGGAGCCUGCAGGGAAGCCUUUGGAGACGGAGAAGGAGCAGGGUGUGGAGACCAGAGAGAAAGCAGAGGAGGCCAGAAAGGAAGGCCAGGGAGAGGCCGAGGAUAGAGUGGCUGUUGGUGUAUCUGGAACAGAGUCCAAGGAAGAAGCUGAUGGUACUGGAACACCAGAAGGACUGCAGGAGGGGGAAGGAGGAGAAGGUGUUGCCUUGGGAGGAAAUGUCAGCAGUCCCAGCAAAGAGGGCCGAACUGGCAGCACUUCUGAUGAACCUCUCUCACCUGAGCCAGAGGAAGAUGGAGAAUACUGGCCAGAAUUCUCUCCAAGCUCUCCUGAUGAAGGACCAGAAAGCCCCACAGGGAUCAAUCACCCGGAGACAGGUAGCACCGCUUCAGACUCACCUGCUCCAGAAGGUGCCACGGAGGACACUAUCAGCCCUGAAGUUACCCCAGAGCAGGACAAGGAGCAGCCGCCUGCUCCUGAGGAUGCAGCCACCACAAAGGAGAAAAAGAAGAGGCCCACAUUUGACCGGAGAGAGCUAACACGGCCACGUGUGCCACCCAGAGGUCAAUCCCGCAAGGCCAUUAUGGAGAAGUUUGGAGGGGCUGCAAGUGGUCCUGCCCCCAAUAUCAAGAGGACGGGAGGUGCAAAUACUGUGAAGAACAUGUUGCUGGAGUGGUGCCGAGCCAAGACACGUGGUUAUGAGCAUGUGGACAUCCAGAACUUCUCCUCCAGCUGGAGCAGCGGCAUGGCCUUCUGUGCCCUCAUCCACAAGUUCUUCCCGGAUGCCUUUGACUACAUGGCUCUUGACCCAGCAAAGCGCAGAGAGAACUUUGCCCUGGCCUUCUCCACUGCUGAGAAGCUCGCCGACUGUGCCCAGCUUCUGGAGGUGGAUGAUAUGGUGCGCAUGAGUGUUCCUGAUAACAAGUGCAUCUACACUUACAUCCAAGAGCUCUACCGCAGCCUGGUGCAGAAAGGGCUGGUGAAGACCAAGAAGCAAUAAACAUGGAAGGCAGGCUUCUGCUGGAGGCUGCUUGGAAACAACAGAGGAAAGUAUGGCUGGUGUGGGGGACAGGGAGAAGGCAACAUGGGAUGUACCCCCGUCUCUUUUCUACUAUUUCCUACAUACAGCACUGGCUUGAACUACAGUGGUUAUUCCUUCUUGAAGUGUGGUACACACAGACUUCCUGCCAGUAUGCUUGAAAGAUAAACAGGGAAGGGAUUAUUGCCUCCAUCCUGAGGGGUCACUAAUCAUCUUCAAAGAUCUGGCCUCCAUGAAAACAGAACUUGGAAUAAGUAAUAAUCCUGGUGCCUCUUUAGCAAGCCACUGCCACCAAUUCCAUUCCCUUUCCUUUUGGCUACAAAUGCUAGAAAAUUCUCUUUCAACUCAUGCUGCAAUCAUACUUCACUUCUACAACACUUCAUCCAUUAAAGCACAGUUUAAAGGCAA